GAUGAACGCUGGCGGCGUGCCUAAUACAUGCAAGUCGAGCGAACAGACGAGGAGCUUGCUCCUCUGACGUUAGCGGCGGACGGGUGAGUAACACGUGGAUAACCUACCUAUAAGACUGGGAUAACUUCGGGACACCGGAGCUAAUACCGGAUAAUAUAUUGAACCGCAUGGUUCAAUAGUGAAAGACGGUUUUGCUGUCACUUAUAGAUGGAUCCGCGCCGCAUUAGCUAGUUGGUAAGGUAACGGCUUACCAAGGCAACGAUGCGUAGCCGACCUGAGAGGGUGAUCGGCCACACGGGAACUGAGACACGGUCCAGACUCCUACGGGAGGCAGCAGUAGGGAAUCUUCCGCAAUGGGCGAAAGCUUGACGGAGCAACGCCGCGUGAGUGAUGAAGGUCUUCGGAUCGUAAAACUCUGUUAUUAGGGAAGAACAAAUGUGUAAGUAACUAUGCACGUCUUGACGGUACCUAAUCAGAAAGCCACGGCUAACUACGUG
This 497-nucleotide ribosomal RNA is filed under the name uncultured bacterium. RNAcentral describes it as "partial 16S ribosomal RNA". It matches the Rfam family "Bacterial small subunit ribosomal RNA", at positions 28 to 507 of the family's 1533-position model. The record is from RNAcentral.